Molecule: ribosomal RNA, 420 nt
Filed under: uncultured bacterium
Lineage: Bacteria
Description: bacterial SSU rRNA
Rfam family: Bacterial small subunit ribosomal RNA
Source: RNAcentral
UGGGGAAUAUUGCGCAAUGGACGAAAGUCUGACGCAGCGACGCCGCGUGUGGGAUGAAGCUCUUCGGGGUGUAAACCACUGUUGCCCGGGACGAAUUUCUGGUUUGGACCAGAUUGACGGUACCGGGUGAGGAAGCACCGGCUAACUCUGUGCCAGCAGCCGCGGUAAUACAGAGGGUGCGAGCGUUGUCCGGAAUCACUGGGCGUAAAGGGCGCGUAGGUGGCUCGUUAAGCGUGUGGUGAAAGCCUGGGGCUCAACCCCAGGUCUGCCGUGCGAACUGGCGAGCUUGAGCAGAGUAGAGGCGGGUGGAAUUUCGGGUGUAGCGGUGGAAUGCGUAGAUAUCCGAAAGAACACCGGUGGCGAAGGCGGCCCGCUGGGCUCUUGCUGACACUGAUGCGCGACAGCGUGGGGAGCAAACAG